Castor canadensis (American beaver) is the source of this 384-nucleotide non-coding RNA. NCBI's taxonomy places the organism in Eukaryota, Metazoa, Chordata, Mammalia, Rodentia, Castoridae. The record is from the annotation of a RefSeq genome assembly.
AUGGUCUGGGUUCCAUUUGUGCUCGACGUUCCUGCUCAGUGCACAGGCUUUUGGGCUGAGGUUGUGUUCACUCAGCCCCAGUCUGUGUCAGGGUCUCCUGGUCAGACAAUAAACAUCUCCUGUUCCCUCAGCAGUGGCAGCAUCGACAACAACUAUGCAUCUUGGUACCAACAGCACACAGGAAGUUCCCCCAAGAUGCUCAUCUACAAAUAUAAUCAAAGACCCACUGGGGUUCCCAACUUGUUCUCCGGAUCCAAAGACAGCUCCUCCAACUCUGCCUCUCUUUCCAUCUCUAGGCUGCAACCUGAGGAUGAGGUUGAUUACCACUGUCUGUCUGGUUAUGACAACUAUUUUACCCAGAAUUCAAGACCUAUGAGGAAGUGA